UAGCGUAUGUUAAAGUUGUUGCGGCUAAAAAGCUCGUAGUUGGACUUCUGCUAAGAGCAACCGGUCCGCACUUCGUGCGUGUAUCUGGUUUUUAGCUUUUGGCAUCCUCUCGAAAGACGUGUCUGCGCUUGAUUGCGUGGCGCGGAGUUCGGGACUUUUACUUUGAGGAAAUUAGAGUGUUCACGGCAGGCUAUCGCCCUGAAUACAUUAGCAUGGAAUAAUAAGAUAGGAUCUCGGUUCUAUUUUGUUGGUUUCUAGGAUUGAGAUAAUGAUUAAUAGGGACAAUUGGGGGCAUUCGUAUUAACGCGUC
This 310-nucleotide ribosomal RNA is filed under the name Amoebophrya sp. Its description in RNAcentral is "SSU rRNA". It matches the Rfam family "Eukaryotic small subunit ribosomal RNA", at positions 595 to 906 of the family's 1831-position model. Lineage: Eukaryota; Dinophyceae; Syndiniales; Amoebophryaceae. The record is from RNAcentral.